UUGAUUGUAAUGCUAUAUUACUGAUAAAUUUAUUAUACAUUAUAAUAAGUAAAUAAAUUUUGUGUAUUUAUUUACCACAUAACUUGUCUACAUAACAAUUAAACUACACAUCACAUAAAACUUUAUAUCUGAAAUACUUAAAGGCUUAUAUUAGAAAUCUUUUUGUUAUCACAUUUUUUGUCAUUAUUUUUUAAUUAUAUUUCCACAAUAGAGUAUAUUUUCAUUUUUUACUGAAGUAAUUUUUGAUCUAGAUAGAAAAUUGCUGCUAAAGUUUUUGUAUUAUUUUUAAAUUUAAUAAGAACAAUUUGAAAAUUUUAAAUAAUUUUUUAUAAUUUCUUUUAUUAUUUUGUAAAUGUGUAUAAUAUAUCCUUAAAUUAAAAGAACUAUUAUAGUUUAAUAUUCAUUGACUUUCUAUAUCACAAAGUCUGGUCCUGUUAAAAGCUUAUCAUUUUUCUAUGAACAUAUGCGUUUAACAGUCUUCUUACUGUGAGUGCUUUAUCAGUACAGGUGAGAGAGAUUGACCGUUCUUUGGGUCAAAAUAUGAGUCAUACAGCAUUUAUUCUAUGUGUCUUUUCAAUAUCGUAUCGACUUUAUUGAUUACUUCAUCGACUCGAUCGUUUUACAUGAUUAUAAGAGCAAUUUUGUUAAAUGUUUUAAUCGUGUCACGUAACAUCAUUCAUUGAGUAAUCACUGCAAAUUUUUUCCAUUCAGUUUUAAAAUAUUUAGAUUUUAAAACUGAAUGGAAUGACUGAAAUGUAAUAAUAAAAAUCAAUGAAAAUUGAGUUCUGAAUAAAUUUGAUUUUGACAAUUUUGAUGUUAUGUUAUUACAAAUUAUAAAAUAGUAAUGCAGAAUUUUGCAUGAGAUAUUUUCCAAUUUAUGGCAAUUUUGUUUACAAAAUUAUAUAUAAUUAAAAGAAGGAUCAUGUAAUUAGUAGAAUUUUAUGUUAAGCAUUUUUAUGGAAAUUAUCAUUAAAAAAAAUAUAUGCAUUAUUUGUUAUAUUUAAUAUAUUCUUCAAUAACAGAUAGCACGGCGCGUAUACCAGACGUUAAUCUACUUAAUUGAGGUUCAAUGUUCUUUGACCAAUAGAAAUAAUGCUCUGACACUGUUUUAAUCAACCGAUCGGUAUUCGUUGAAUAUGCUUCUACGUCGCACAUGUUAAAUAAAAUCUGACACCAAUAAAUGUGACUCAGUGCAGGCAGCCACGUGAUCACGUUACGCUUCAGUGAAGAAUCUUCGUGCACACGAGAAUCAGGUGUGCGUUGCAUUAAUUACCUUGACAGAACGCUAAGAUGAUUUCUCACAUUUUUCGCACAUCUAUGCAGCAAUUGUAUUUUACACUGAUGCAGCACGAUAAACAGGUUGGACGCGAACGCGUCCCGGAGAACAGGUCCCGGAGCCUCUCCUCAUGGGCCCAGUCACUCUCCACUUCGGAGACUUUCAUACUAAAACUCGCCGCAAGGCGCGACUCAGCGAACAGGCCCCACCCGGUCGGUUUCCCGUUCGAGUAGAAUUUAUCGGAGACGACGUCAUCAUCUCGCGACAUCAUUCGCUUUCUGUUAACAAGAGGCACCUACAACGAACUGAUUCUUAGUUGCACCGGCCGGCAAUCUUUUCGUCUUUAUCAUAAACUACAUUAUAUGUAUUAUGGAAAAAGUAGUUUUAAAGCUAGAUACUAAUCUAAAAAUAAUUUUUUGUUGAUUUAUUAAAAUAACUAUGAAGAAUGUUCAACUAUGAUGAUCAAUAGUUUAAGCGUUCUAUAUAAUUAUUUUGAUGAUCUAACCUCUAAUAAAAAAUUAUUUUUAAUAAAAUACUUUAGUAAAAUAGAUCUAAUGUAAACUGUGUAAACUGAUUACUCCAAAUGAAAGAACGCGUAUCGCACGCUCAUACCG
Molecule: long non-coding RNA, 1890 nt
Organism: Monomorium pharaonis (pharaoh ant)
Lineage: Eukaryota; Metazoa; Arthropoda; Insecta; Hymenoptera; Formicidae
Exons: 2
Source: RefSeq, a predicted model, not a curated record